GACACAUCUCGCCCCCCCCUGCCUUUGGGCGGUUCGGAGGGCGGACUCUGCGUGUUCCGGAGCGCGAGCUCCGAGUGCACCGAACCUCGUGAACGCGAGACCUCUACUGCUGAUUGCACAGAGUUGUUGACGGCGUGUCUGCUUCGGCGGCGCGACUCUCUACUCGCCACGUGCUUUCCGCUAUAGUGGCGGUCGUAGUUCCGGUUGCGCGCUGCCCACCCUCGGGAGGGCGGCGCACUACCCCAACUUUCG
This 252-nucleotide unclassified non-coding RNA is filed under the name Scytosiphon lomentaria. RNAcentral describes it as "ITS2". The record is from RNAcentral. Lineage: Eukaryota; Phaeophyceae; Ectocarpales; Scytosiphonaceae.